Molecule: ribosomal RNA, 288 nt
Filed under: Nostoc sp. HG1
Lineage: Bacteria; Bacillati; Cyanobacteriota; Cyanophyceae; Nostocales; Nostocaceae
Description: partial 23S ribosomal RNA
Rfam family: Bacterial large subunit ribosomal RNA
Source: RNAcentral
AUGGAAGGGCCAUCGCUCAAAGGAUAAAAGGUACGCCGGGGAUAACAGGCUGAUCUCCCCCAAGAGCUCACAUCGACGGGGAGGUUUGGCACCUCGAUGUCGGCUCGUCACAUCCUGGGGCUGGAGAAGGUUCCAAGGGUUCGGCUGUUCGCCGAUUAAAGUGGCACGCGAGCUGGGUUCAGAACGUCGUGAGACAGUUCGUCCAUAUCCGGUGCAGGCUGUAAAGAGCACUUGAGAGGAGUCCUCCUUAGUACGAGAGGACGGGAGGAACGCACCUGUCAGUCGACC